GGGGCUUUAGCUUAAUUAAAGCAUUUGAGUUGCAUUCAAAAUAUGUGAGGUAGUCUUGCAGGUCCUA
This 67-nucleotide transfer RNA is filed under the name Eurycea multiplicata. RNAcentral's name for it is "tRNA-Ala". It matches the Rfam family "tRNA". Rfam says of the family: Transfer RNA (tRNA) molecules are approximately 80 nucleotides in length. Their secondary structure includes four short double-helical elements and three loops (D, anti-codon, and T loops). The record is from RNAcentral. Lineage: Eukaryota; Metazoa; Chordata; Amphibia; Caudata; Plethodontidae.